This is a non-coding RNA of Seriola aureovittata, 756 nucleotides long. The record is from the annotation of a RefSeq genome assembly. Lineage: Eukaryota; Metazoa; Chordata; Actinopteri; Carangiformes; Carangidae.
AUGUGCAGAGCUCAGCAGCUGGAUAUUAAAGUAGUUUAUAUUUUAUUGAGUUAUCAGAACAAGGAGAGGUUGUUUUCAGUGGAUAGAAGCUUGUUCACAGUGCAGGAGGUUUUUGUACGGCCACUUCAUGAGUUUGUAUCACUGUGGUGGACUUUUGGUGGAGGAACCAAACUCGUCGUUGACUUGGGGGUGGUGCGGCCCACCCUGACCGUCCACCCCCCCUCCGUAGAGGAGCUGCAGAAGGGCAGUGCCACAGUGGUGUGUGUGGCCAGCGGAGGCUUCCCCUCAGCCUGGAGGCUGGGCUGGAAGGUGGGGGGCAGCAGCAGCUCCUCAGGGGUGUCAAACAGCCUGGAGGACCUGGGGAGGGACGGCCGCUACAGCUGGAGCAGCACCCUGAGCCUCCCUGCAGACCAGUGGAGGAAGGCGGGCUCAGUGAGCUGUGAGGCCGGUUUGACUGGACAGAGCCCUGUCACUCAAACCCUGGAGCCUGACCGCUGCUCAGAGUAGAGCUUCAGCAACAUUUCCUGUCUGGAGGUGAUGCUGCUUCUUUGAUAGAGAUCUUGAUGAAGAUACAGAUCUCCUCUCUUCACAUAUUUCUGCAGGUUUCACAGCUCUCUACUCAUUGUUUUAGUCUGUAUGUUGCUUUCUUAUACUGAUCUUCUGCAUAUUCUGCUUCAUGUUCAUUACUCUUCAAAUUUAACUAAAUCUUGAAAUAUGGCAUAAACAUUUAAUCAUUGAAAUAAAACUGUGUAUUAA